AGAGUUUGAUCAUGGCUCAGGAUGAACGCUAGCUACAGGCUUAACACAUGCAAGUCGAGGGGAAACGAUAUUGGAAGCUUGCUUCCGAUAGGCGUCGACCGGCGCACGGGUGAGUAACGCGUAUCCAACCUGCCCACCACUUGGGGAUAACCUUGCGAAAGUAAGACUAAUACCCAAUGAUAUCUCUAGAAGACAUCUGAAAGAGAUUAAAGAUUUAUCGGUGAUGGAUGGGGAUGCGUCUGAUUAGCUUGUUGGCGGGGUAACGGCCCACCAAGGCAACGAUCAGUAGGGGUUCUGAGAGGAAGGUCCCCCACAUUGGAACUGAGACACGGUCCAAACUCCUACGGGAGGCAGCAGUGAGGAAUAUUGGUCAAUGGACGAGAGUCUGAACCAGCCAAGUAGCGUGCAGGAAGACGGCCCUAUGGGUUGUAAACUGCUUUUAUAAGGGAAUAAAGUGUGAGUCGUGACUCUUUUUGCAUGUACCUUAUGAAUAAGGACCGGCUAAUUCCGUGCCAGCAGCCGCGGUAAUACGGAAGGUCCGGGCGUUAUCCGGAUUUAUUGGGUUUAAAGGGAGCGUAGGCCGGAGAUUAAGCGUGUUGUGAAAUGUAGACGCUCAACGUCUGCACUGCAGCGCGAACUGGUUUCCUUGAGUACGCACAAAGUGGGCGGAAUUCGUGGUGUAGCGGUGAAAUGCUUAGAUAUCACGAAGAACUCCGAUUGCGAAGGCAGCUCACUGGAGCGCAACUGACGCUGAAGCUCGAAAGUGCGGGUAUCGAACAGGAUUAGAUACCCUGGUAGUCCGCACGGUAAACGAUGGAUGCCCGCUGUUGGUCUGAAUAGGUCAGCGGCCAAGCGAAAGCAUUAAGCAUCCCACCUGGGGAGUACGCCGGCAACGGUGAAACUCAAAGGAAUUGACGGGGGCCCGCACAAGCGGAGGAACAUGUGGUUUAAUUCGAUGAUACGCGAGGAACCUUACCCGGGCUUGAAUUGCAGAGGAAGGAUUUGGAGACAAUGACGCCCUUCGGGGCCUCUGUGAAGGUGCUGCAUGGUUGUCGUCAGCUCGUGCCGUGAGGUGUCGGCUUAAGUGCCAUAACGAGCGCAACCCCUCUCCUUAGUUGCCAUCAGGUUAAGCUGGGCACUCUGGGGACACUGCCACCGUAAGGUGUGAGGAAGGUGGGGAUGACGUCAAAUCAGCACGGCCCUUACGUCCGGGGCUACACACGUGU
RNAcentral lists this ribosomal RNA (1226 nucleotides) under metagenome. Its description in RNAcentral is "bacterial SSU rRNA". It matches the Rfam family "Bacterial small subunit ribosomal RNA", at positions 8 to 1225 of the family's 1533-position model. The record is from RNAcentral.